AUAGUAAUGUCAGUUAGACAGUGAGGCUUUCAAACUCCAACAGUGACCUGAAGUGAGAGGAGGUAGCAUCGCUGCCAUGCCUUUGGGAAUUCUCUGAAAAAGUGGGAGAGUACUGCAUGGACAUCUGCUGUGCAGAUGUUUCGUAAUUUCAGUGCAUGUGUGUUGAUGAUCUAAUGUCUACAGGCUUUUACAACUUAUUUUCUAUGAAAGGAAAGUAGUACAUUAUCAGCCAUUUACCCAAACUCCUUUUCUGUAUUCAUUGCCUGGCUAAAUAUUGCCAUGCAGAAUGUGGUCUAUGGGUUAUAAUUUGUCCUAUUUGCAUGCAGCCAGCCCUCCUUUGUAACAUCUGCAGUCGAAUUCAAGUUGAGAGUUACCAGUAUGGAGUAACGAAACAAAAUUCUGGAACCUUAGUCAAGGUAACUUAACAGUGGGCCUUAACAGCGGUAACUGAACUAACACAUACAUGAAACAUUUAAAUGUAAGUUGUUGGUGAAGGUCACUGGCACUGGAGAAUAGCCAAUAUUCAAAAUAAAAGUGGACAGAUGCUGACUGCCACUAUUUAGCAGCUCCAUGCCCUGUCAUUGUUCCCAGUGGAAUGCCCCUGGAAUGCAGCAGCACAAGAGAUGGGCCGAAGAGCCACAGAAGCGGCAUUCUGCAGAGUCCAAGAGAGUGGCCCUACACUGAAGUGAGGAGGAACAAGAAAAGCAGCUGAACCAUAAGCCAGAAGUCUCCUAGUCCAGCGCAAGUGAGCCUCUACAAGGACAAGGGCUUCAGUGGCUGAGGAUCUGGUAGUAUGCCGUACCCACUCUCCUACACAUUCCUUCUAAAGAAGUAAGUGGCACAGAACUAUCUGGGCAUCUGAGAGCUUUCUCUGUGCAUCACCUACACCCAGAUUGACCUGGAGCCAAGGGCUAAGCUGUUAGGUUACGUAAUUGCAUUUGGGUGCUAAAGCACUCUCAUUCAGCACUGGAUCCCUAAAGUAUAACUUAGUGGCAUUACAAAACAUUCCGAAUUCAAAGAGACUGGAAGAAAUGUGCCAUUUGUCAGUAAAAGUAGUUUGAUGUACCUCUCAAACAAGUAGGAUAUUACAUUCAACCUAAAACUGGAAAAGGCAAAUUUGUCCAUCAGAAAGAAUGGACAUUCUUAGGAGAAGCCUGACUUUACUACUUUUUUUUUAUCCCAUGAGCCAAAACAGGACUCCGCUCUUUAUUUAUCUUUCUCCUGAGCAUUUACAAUGAUCUCUAAGUUAUUUUAAUAAAUUGUCA
Long non-coding RNA from Numida meleagris (helmeted guineafowl), 1265 nucleotides. RefSeq lists it as uncharacterized. The record is from RefSeq and is a predicted model, not a curated record. The transcript has 4 exons. Lineage: Eukaryota; Metazoa; Chordata; Aves; Galliformes; Numididae.